RNAcentral lists this ribosomal RNA (493 nucleotides) under uncultured bacterium. Its description in RNAcentral is "partial 16S ribosomal RNA". It matches the Rfam family "Bacterial small subunit ribosomal RNA", at positions 29 to 523 of the family's 1533-position model. The record is from RNAcentral.
AUUGAACGCUGGCGGCAUGCCUUACACAUGCAAGUCGAACGGUAACAGGUUAAGCUGACGAGUGGCGAACGGGUGAGUAAUGCAUCGGAACGUGCCCGGUCGUGGGGGAUAACGCAGCGAAAGCUGCGCUAAUACCGCAUACGAUCUGAGGAUGAAAGCGGGGGACCGUAAGGCCUCGCGCGAUCGGAGCGGCCGAUGUCAGAUUAGGUAGUUGGUGGGGUAAAGGCUCACCAAGCCAACGAUCUGUAGCUGGUCUGAGAGGACGACCAGCCACACUGGGACUGAGACACGGCCCAGACUCCUACGGGAGGCAGCAGUGGGGAAUUUUGGACAAUGGGCGAAAGCCUGAUCCAGCAAUGCCGCGUGCAGGAAGAAGGCCUUCGGGUUGUAGACUGCUUUUGUACGGAGCGAAAAGGUCUCCUCUAAUACAGGGGGCUCAUGACGGUACCGUAAGAAUAAGCACCGGCUAACUACGUGCCAGCCGCCGCAGUAA